RNAcentral lists this ribosomal RNA (331 nucleotides) under Artema sp. Om14. RNAcentral's name for it is "partial 12S ribosomal RNA". The record is from RNAcentral. Lineage: Eukaryota; Metazoa; Arthropoda; Arachnida; Araneae; Pholcidae.
AUUAUAGAAACACUAAGGUAGUAUCAAAAAGAAAAACCUAUAUGGCUUGACGGUUAUGAUUAAUUAGAGAAACUCGCCCCAUAAUCGUAAACACUCGUUAAUUUUUACCUGAUCUCAAAGCCUAUAUACCGCCGUCACAAAGCCCAAAUCAAAAAACACAACAAAAAAAACACAUUUAAAAAAUCAGGUCAAGGUGUAGCCCAUGAUCAGCUAGUGAGGGUAAGUUACAUUAAAAACUAUUUAAGGAAUAGCAUUACAAAUUAAUAUAGGAAAGAGAAUCUAAUCGUACAAAUUAAUCAAAAAUUAUAAUCGAUCAACACAAUCAUAAUGC